AAAUAAGAAGCAAAAAAAAUUGCAGUUAGUUUCGACCUAAAAAUAUGGUGAAAACACCCUUAUUUA
This 66-nucleotide transfer RNA is filed under the name Closteromerus claviger. RNAcentral describes it as "tRNA-Arg". Lineage: Eukaryota; Metazoa; Arthropoda; Insecta; Coleoptera; Cerambycidae. The record is from RNAcentral.